UACGGGGGAUGCAAGCGUUAUCCGGAAUGAUUGGGCGUAAAGCGUCUGUAGGUGGGUUCACUAAGUCUGUGGGUUAAAGGGUAGAGCUCAACUCUGCUAUAGCAACAGAAACUAGGAAUCUUGGGCAUGGUAGGGGUAGAGGGAAUUUUGAGAGUAGCGGUGAAAUGCGUAGAUACUCGAAGGAACACCGACGGCGAAAGCACUCUACUGGGCCAAUGCUGACACUCAGAGACGAAAGCGUGGGUAGCGAAUAGG
This 255-nucleotide ribosomal RNA is filed under the name uncultured bacterium. Its description in RNAcentral is "partial 16S ribosomal RNA". It matches the Rfam family "Bacterial small subunit ribosomal RNA", at positions 524 to 776 of the family's 1533-position model. The record is from RNAcentral.